Molecule: ribosomal RNA, 498 nt
Filed under: uncultured bacterium
Lineage: Bacteria
Description: partial 16S ribosomal RNA
Rfam family: Bacterial small subunit ribosomal RNA
Source: RNAcentral
AUUGAACGCUGGCGGCAUGCCUUACACAUGCAAGUCGAACGGCAGCGGACCUUCGGGUGCCGGCGAGUGGCGAACGGGUGAGUAAUGCAUCGGAACGUACCUUUCAGUGGGGGAUAACGUAGCGAAAGUUACGCUAAUACCGCAUAUUCUGUGAGCAGGAAAGCAGGGGAUCGCAAGACCUUGCGCUGAUUGAGCGGCCGAUGUCAGAUUAGCUAGUUGGUGAGGUAAAGGCUCACCAAGGCGACGAUCUGUAGCGGGUCUGAGAGGAUGAUCCGCCACACUGGGACUGAGACACGGCCCAGACUCCUACGGGAGGCAGCAGUGGGGAAUUUUGGACAAUGGGGGCAACCCUGAUCCAGCCAUGCCGCGUGAGUGAAGAAGGCCUUCGGGUUGUAAAGCUCUUUCGGCCGGGAAGAAAUCGCACAGGCUAAUACCUUGUGUGGAUGACGGUACCGGAAUAAGAAGCACCGGCUAACUACGUGCCAGCCGCCGCCGUAA